Molecule: ribosomal RNA, 215 nt
Filed under: uncultured bacterium
Lineage: Bacteria
Description: partial 16S ribosomal RNA
Rfam family: Bacterial small subunit ribosomal RNA
Source: RNAcentral
UACAGAGUGCUCAAGCGUUGUUCGGAUUCAUUGGGCGUAAAGGGUGCGUAGGCGGCGCGGUGAGUCGGGUGUAGAAAUCGAUCGGGUCCUUAACUCCGAAACUGCUUACGAUACUGCCGAUGCUUGAGGACUGGAGAGGAGAGUGGAAAUUUACGGUGUAGCGGUGAAAUGCGUAGAUAGUCGUAAGGAAGACCAGUGGCGAAGGCGGGUCUCUG